RNAcentral lists this ribosomal RNA (494 nucleotides) under Klebsiella pneumoniae. RNAcentral's name for it is "bacterial SSU rRNA". It matches the Rfam family "Bacterial small subunit ribosomal RNA", at positions 38 to 519 of the family's 1533-position model. The record is from RNAcentral. Lineage: Bacteria; Pseudomonadati; Pseudomonadota; Gammaproteobacteria; Enterobacterales; Enterobacteriaceae.
GGGCGAGGGGCGGCAGCUACACAUGCAAGUCGAGCGGUAGCACAGAGAGCUUGCUCUCGGGUGACGAGCGGCGGACGGGUGAGUAAUGUCUGGGAAACUGCCUGAUGGAGGGGGAUAACUACUGGAAACGGUAGCUAAUACCGCAUAACGUCGCAAGACCAAAGUGGGGGACCUUCGGGCCUCAUGCCAUCAGAUGUGCCCAGAUGGGAUUAGCUAGUAGGUGGGGUAACGGCUCACCUAGGCGACGAUCCCUAGCUGGUCUGAGAGGAUGACCAGCCACACUGGAACUGAGACACGGUCCAGACUCCUACGGGAGGCAGCAGUGGGGAAUAUUGCACAAUGGGCGCAAGCCUGAUGCAGCCAUGCCGCGUGUGUGAAGAAGGCCUUCGGGUUGUAAAGCACUUUCAGCGGGGAGGAAGGCGAUAAGGUUAAUAACCUUGUCGAUUGACGUUACCCGCAGAAGAAGCACCGGCUAACUCCGUGCAGCAGCCGCU